This 568-nucleotide long non-coding RNA is filed under the name Equus caballus (horse). RNAcentral describes it as "lncRNA (ENSECAG00000051584.1)". Lineage: Eukaryota; Metazoa; Chordata; Mammalia; Perissodactyla; Equidae. The record is from RNAcentral.
CAAUUGUCUGGGUACCAAUAUUGAGUUACAUUGGUUACAUCGUCCUGAUUUCAAGUCAUCAGGAAGUUGGGGGAAAAAAAAGAAAUACAAAAUAAACGAAGAGAAAAUAGGAAGAAAUUAAUGAUCACAAAGCACGUUCAGUAAAACAGAAAAAAGGAGUUGAUAUAUGGAGCCAUAAUUUGAUUUCUAGAAAAUAUACAUUGUCGUGGGAAGAUGUGAGAUGAACUGGGCUCCUCCCCUGACAAACUCCUAGUAAUGGCUUCGUCUUCUCUACUUUAAGAAAUAACCUCACUAGAAGUCAGAGGAAAUCAAAAAGGCGAUAAAGUUAUUACAUGCAGAUGCGAGCUCUGGCAUUGCUGCACCCAUCUUGUCACACCUGAAGAUGAAACCUACACAAAGAAAAGGGUAGAACCAAGAGAACAGAAGAGAAAUAAAACUAGAACAAUCAGAUUGUCUCGUUUGGAACCUAGCCCAUCUGUGGAUUUCCAGUCACGUGAGUCUAUCUGGGCCUGAUAUCCAAGACGGCUCACUCACAUGGCUGAGAAUCCAUGCUGGGUGUCAGCUGGGA